Molecule: microRNA, 21 nt
Filed under: Strongyloides ratti
Lineage: Eukaryota; Metazoa; Nematoda; Chromadorea; Rhabditida; Strongyloididae
Description: str-miR-7880e-5p
Source: miRBase by way of RNAcentral
UGGACUGGAUAGUUGCAAACA